Molecule: long non-coding RNA, 1810 nt
Organism: Mesocricetus auratus (golden hamster)
Lineage: Eukaryota; Metazoa; Chordata; Mammalia; Rodentia; Cricetidae
Exons: 2
Source: RefSeq, a predicted model, not a curated record
UGACCCAUAGAGAGUGCUCCUAUUAGGAGGUGUGGCUUGCUGGAGUAAGUGUUGAAAGAAGUGUCACUGUGGAGGCAGGCUUUGAGGUCUCCAUAUAAGCUCAAGCAGCACCCAGCGUCACAGUUUUCUUCUGUUGCCUGCAGAUCACGACUUCAAACUCUCAGCUGCUGCAGCACCGUGUCUAACCACACGCCUCCAUGCUUCCCGCUGCUGUGAGGACAAUGAACCAAGCCUCGGAACUGACGGCCAGCCCCAAUUAAAUGUUUUCCUUUGUAAGAGUUGCUGCGGUCGUCUCUUCACAGCAAUGGAAACCGCAAGUUGCUGAGGCAGAGUCUCUCACUGAGCAUGGAGCGCAUCGGUUUGGCUACACUGGCUGGCCAAUGAACUCAGAGAUAGAUGUCCAUCCAUCUCCACUCUCUAGGCUGGCCAAUGAACUCAGAGAUAGAUGCCCAUCCAUCUCCACUGUCUAGGAUGGCCAGACAAACUCAGAGAUAGAUACCUACUGUCUCCAUUCUCUAGGCUGGCCAGAUGAUGAACUCAGAGAUAUCUAUCCAUCUCCACUCUCUAAGCUGGCCAACCAAUGAACUCAGAGACAGAUAUCCAUGCAUCUCCACUCUCUAGCAUGGCCGGCCAGUGAACUCAGAGAUAGAUACCCACCACCUCCACUCUCCCAGCACUGAGGUUACAGGUGCUAGUCAGUCCCUGACUUUUUACAUAUGUGCUAGCAUCAGACUUAGGCCCUCGUGCUUACGUGGCGGGUACUUCACCCACUCAUCCAACUCCCCAGCCACCGACAUCCAUCCUCUUCAUGCCAAGGGACUCCGGCUUUGGUGGAGAUCUAGCUCAGACUGGUUUCUGCUGUGGAGAGUUCUUCCAUUCAACCCAGAGGCCACUUGCCACAUAUGGCUACUGUGUCCCCCGAGAUGUGGCCAACCCAAACUAAGAUGAGCUAGAGAUGCAAAAUAUGCCCAGGAUCUUGAAGACUUCAUGUGACUUCCUCCAGCAAGAAGAAUAAUCCUGUAAUCACCUUUACAUUGAUUCCAUGUUUAAAUGAUCAUAUUUGGGAUAUAAAGGUUCAAGUAGAAUUAUAUUACUAAAAUCACAAUUUUAAUAUGAUGAAUAGAAAAGUUAACAGUUAUGCACACAGCUCAUAUUGUGCUCUGUUGCCUACCUCCGGUACAGGACUCGGUUUUCUUAGAAUUCUGAGUCCCUAAAUUCAAACUACAAAGGCCAACAUUUUGUCUUACCUUACCCACCCGCCUCACACACCUCAGGGCAUUUCCCUCAAUACUCUACACUUCAGGCGGCUGUUAGUUCCAAACGUCAUGAGGAGGGAGUCAAAAUUAGAGCCCUUAUCCAUCCACAGCUCCGAAAGGAACUGAAUUCUCAUUUUUCUCCUAAGUCUACAUGUGGGUAGCCCCUCUAGUGGGCUCCUGUCCCGUUACAAACCUCAGCUCGAGUAAUUAACGGUACUGACUGGUUUUGUGUCCACUUGGCGCAGCUAGAGUCACCAGACAGGGAGCAGCCUCCAGUGAGGAAAGGCCUCCAUGAGAUCCAGCUGGAGGGUGUUUUCUCAGUUAGUGACUGAUGGGGGAGGGCCCCGCCUACUGUGGGUGAGGCCAUCCCUGAGCUGGUGGUCCUGGGUUCUAUUUGAAAAGAGGCUGAGCAAGCCAGGGGGAGCAAGCCAGUAAGCAGCACCCCUCAUGGCCCCUGCAACAGUUCCUGCCUCCAGGUUCCAGCCCUGGCUGAGGUCCUCUCCUCAAUUCCUCCAAUCUGGAAGUGUAAGCCAAAUAAACCCUUUCCUCCCCAA